GACGUAGGGUGCGAGCGUUGUCCGGAUUUAUUGGGCGUAAAGAGCUCGUAGGCGGCUCGUCGCGUCGACCGUGAAAACCCGCGGCUUAACCGCGGGCUUGCGGUUGAUACGGGCGGGCUAGAGUGCAGAAGGGGCAACUGGAAUUCUCGGUGUAGCGGUGAAAUGCGUAGAUAUCGAGAGGAACACCUGCGGCGAAGGCGGGUUGCUGGGCUGACACUGACGCUGAGGCGCGAAAGCUAGGGGAGCGAACGGG
Molecule: ribosomal RNA, 253 nt
Filed under: uncultured bacterium
Lineage: Bacteria
Description: partial 16S ribosomal RNA
Rfam family: Bacterial small subunit ribosomal RNA
Source: RNAcentral